GGUGUCGUGGUGUAGUUGGUUAUCCCGUCAGUCCAACACACUGAAGGUCUCCGGUUCGAAUCCGGGCGACGCCA
Molecule: non-coding RNA, 74 nt
Organism: Jatropha curcas
Lineage: Eukaryota; Viridiplantae; Streptophyta; Magnoliopsida; Malpighiales; Euphorbiaceae
Source: Rfam